AGGGCAUCGGUGCGUAACAGGGUUUGAUCCUGGCUCAGAUUGAACGCUGGCGGGAUGCUUUACACGCUGUGAUCGUUGGCAGCACGGACUUCGGUCUGGUGGCAGAGCUAACUGAACAGGUGAUAGUAUCGGGCCGUACCUAGUAGCGGGGAUUAACUGCGCUGGCCCGUAGCUAAUACCGCAUACGCCCUUCGGGGAAAGCGGGGGACUGGCCAGACCUCCGCGCUAUUGAAACGGCCGAUAUCGGAUUGCAGCCAGUUUGGCCGGUGGCUCGCCAGGGCACGGACGAUCGUAGCUGGUUUGAGAGGACGACCAGCCACACCAGGACGGGCCACGGCCCAGACUCUGGAGGCAGCGGUGGAAAUUUUGGACAAUGGGAAACCUGAUCCAGCCGCUCCCGCGUGUGCGAUGAAGGCCUUCGGGUUGUAAAGCACUUUGGCAGAAGAAACGGCCUGGACAAUACCCGUACAGCUGACGUACCUGCAGAAUAAGCGCACCGGCUAACUACGUGCCAGCAGCCGCGGUAAUACGUAGAUUGACGUUAAUCGGAAUUACUGGGCGUAAAGCGUGCGCAGGCGGUUCGGAAGAAGAUGUGAAAUCCAGGAAGCCUUUUACGGAACCAUUUUCAACUACCGAGCUAGAGUGUGUCAGAGGGAGAGUGGAAUUCCCGCUGUUAUAACAGUGAAAUGCGUAGAUAUGCGGAGGAACACCGAUGGCGAGGCAGCCUCCUGGGAUAGCACUGACAGCUCAUGCGCAAAGCGUGGGGAGGCAACAGGAUUAGAUGCCUGGUAGUCCACGCCCUAAACGAUGUCAACUAGCUGUUGGGGCCUUCGGGCCUUGGUAGCGCAGCUAACGCGUGAAGUUGACCGCCUGGGGAAGUACGGUCGCAAGAUUAAAACUCAAAGGAAUUGACGAGGACCCGCACAAGCGGUGGAUGAUGUGGAUUAAUUCGAUGCAACGCGAAAAACCUUACUACCCUUGACAUGUCUGGAAUCCCGAAGAGGAUUUGGAGUGCUCGCAAGAGAGCGGGCUGGGUGCUGCGCUGGCUGUCGUCAGCUCAGUGUGGUAGAUGUUGGUUAAGAAUCCCAUAACGAGCGCAAUACUUAUGUUAGUUGCUACGAAAGGGCACUCUAAUGGAACUGCCGGUGACAAACCGGAGGAAGGUGGGGAUGACGUCAAGUCCUCAUGGCCCUUAUGGGUAGGGCUUCGUCAUACAAUGGUCGGGACAGAGGGUCGCCAACCCGCGAGGGAAUUGUCCGAAACCCGAUCGUAGUCGGAUCACCGUCUGCAACUCGGCUGCGUGAAGUGGAAUCGCUAGUAAUCGAGAUCGGCGUAUAUCAGCGGUGAAUACGUUCCCGGGUCUUGUACACCGCCCGUCACACCAUGGGAGUGGGUUUUACCAGAAGUAGUUAGCCUACUAACCGUAAGGAGGGCGAUUACCACGGUAGGAUUCGCGAAGCUGGGGUGAAGUCUUGGCUAAAAUUA
RNAcentral lists this ribosomal RNA (1485 nucleotides) under uncultured Bordetella sp. Its description in RNAcentral is "partial 16S-23S ribosomal RNA intergenic spacer". It matches the Rfam family "Bacterial small subunit ribosomal RNA". Lineage: Bacteria; Pseudomonadati; Pseudomonadota; Betaproteobacteria; Burkholderiales; Alcaligenaceae. The record is from RNAcentral.